Molecule: long non-coding RNA, 1509 nt
Organism: Cicer arietinum (chickpea)
Lineage: Eukaryota; Viridiplantae; Streptophyta; Magnoliopsida; Fabales; Fabaceae
Source: RefSeq, a predicted model, not a curated record
UAAUAGGAUGGAUACGAUCAUGGAUAAGCAUGGCCAAAAUAAUAAAGAGAAAGAGGAUAUUUCCCAAUUUUCAUCAACUUUUUUCAUGAUAUAUUUGCAACUUCGACUCACUUUAAGCUCGACGAAGUUUUUAGGGGUUGUUAUGGGUCGCAUAACUAAUAGUACGAAAACUAUUUUGGAUCAAGAGUUCACUAGCAAAGAUGUUUUUUAUGCCCUCGUAUCUAUGAAAUCCACUUUAAUAUUAGGUCUAAAUGGUAUGCCGACUAUCUUUUUUCAAAAUUAUUGGCAUGUUGUGAUAUCUCUUAGUUGGUGCUUAAUACCCUAAAUCACGAGGGAGGUCCCAACAACAUCAACCAUAACUUCAUUUGCCUCAUUCUGAAAAACAAAUAAGCCUACAAAAAAUUGGUGAAUUUCACCCAAUUCCCUUUUGAAAUGCUGUUUUAAAAAUUGUUGCAAAAGCUAUCACAUAUCAUAUGAAAUUAAUUCUGUUAGAUAUCAUUCAUAUUUUUCGAAGCAUGUUUGUGUCUGGUUGAUUAAUAACAAACAACACGCUGAUAACUUUUGACUAUUUUCAUUGUAUGAGGAAAAACAUCACCAAAAAAAAAAAGGCUUUGCAUGUUUGAAAUUGGACUUGUCAAAAGCUUAUGAUCGAAUUGAGUGGUCAUUCCGGAUGGCCGUUUUGAACAACAUGGAUUUCUGUUAACAUUGGGCAACACUUAUUAUGAAGGUUUUUCUACAGUGUCUUUCUCUAUUUUGCUGAAUGGGACCCCUUGCAAAAAGUUAUCUCUUUAGAGAAGACUAAGACAAGGUGACCCCCUAUGCCUUUAUCUUUUUAUUCUUUGUGCAUAAAUUUUUCAGGACUCCGCACUAAACCACAUGAGAAUAGGGUUACCCAUGGUAUCCAAAUUGUUUGGGGAGCAUCUAUUUUAUGUCACUUGUUUUUUGCAGAUGAUAGCCUUACUUUUUUGCAGAACUACUCAAGCGAAUGUUGAAUCCUUUAAAGUUAUUCUCCAACUCUACCAAGAUGCUUCAUUAAUUUUGUUAAAUUAGAGGUCUAUUUCAACCAAAAUGUGCCUUUAAACAAACAAAAUUGACUUCCUAAGAUCGGUCACUUUUAAGGAAAUAUACUCCCUCAAAAUUUACCUAGGUUUACCAACCUUCGUCGGAAGAUAAAAAAAACAAGCUUUUGUGUUUGUUCAAGAUCAUAUUUAGAAGAAAAUCAAGAGGUAAAAGGAAAAAUGUCUCUCAUCCGCAACAAGGGAGGUGUUUAACAAGUAAACUUGUGGAAGUUGGAGUAGCUAUUGAAGGUCGUGGGUCACAAAGAUGAUGCAUGGGGAAUCGGCAUUGUUAUUAAAUGAUAGUGAAAAUGUGGUUUUAGCUAUUGCAGCUUGGAAUAUUACUACUCUACCUGACUCAGAUGUAGCUGAAGCUAUAAGAUUCAGAUUGAAAAUUUCAUUUGCUUUGAAUUUAGGGCUUCGUCACAUCAUAUAUGAAAGUAAAGUUUCAUAA